AUCCCGUUGUGAGGACAGGCGGCCACAUACUCCUGCAGACGUUCCCAUGCUUCGGGAAUAGUCUCAUCCCUUGUCUGCUGGAAACUUGAAAUCCUUCCACGAAGGGC
This is a small nucleolar RNA of Oryza sativa (Asian cultivated rice), 107 nucleotides long. It matches the Rfam family "Plant small nucleolar RNA R71". From Rfam's summary of the family: R71 is a member of the C/D box family of snoRNAs containing the C (UGAUGA) and D (CUGA) box motifs. Multiple nearly identical copies of this snoRNA have been identified in Arabidopsis, and it is thought to function as a 2'-O-ribose methylation guide for 18S ribosomal RNA. Lineage: Eukaryota; Viridiplantae; Streptophyta; Magnoliopsida; Poales; Poaceae. The record is from Rfam.